UACGGAGGGUGCGAGCGUUGUCCGGAAUCACUGGGCGUAAAGGGCGCGUAGGCGGCUUUCUAAGUCGGGGGUGAAAUCCUGGAGCUCAACUCCAGAACUGCCUUCGAUACUGGAGAGCUCGAGUCCGGGAGAGGUGAGUGGAACUGCGAGUGUAGAGGUGAAAUUCGUAGAUAUUCGCGAGAACACCAGUGGCGAAGGCGGCUCACUGGCCCGGUACUGACGCUGAGGUGCGAAAGCGUGGGGAGCAAACAGG
Molecule: ribosomal RNA, 253 nt
Filed under: uncultured bacterium
Lineage: Bacteria
Description: partial 16S ribosomal RNA
Rfam family: Bacterial small subunit ribosomal RNA
Source: RNAcentral